This 374-nucleotide ribosomal RNA is filed under the name Jordanella floridae (flagfish). Its description in RNAcentral is "partial 16S ribosomal RNA". It matches the Rfam family "Bacterial large subunit ribosomal RNA", at positions 2076 to 2580 of the family's 2925-position model. Lineage: Eukaryota; Metazoa; Chordata; Actinopteri; Cyprinodontiformes; Cyprinodontidae. The record is from RNAcentral.
GUCNGAAGCGGGGAUAAUACAUAAGACGGAGAAGACCUAUGGAGCUUUAGGCACAAUGACAGAUCAUGUUAAAAAACCUCUACUAAGAGAUAAAACCCAUUGAAACCUGUCCUGAUGCCUUUGGUUGGGGCGACCGCGGGGCACCAAAAAACCCCCGAGUGGAAUGAAAAUACCUUCUUCUUAAACCCAAGAGCCACAGCUCUAAGCAACNNNAUUUCUGACCUUACAGAUCCGGCACCGCCGAUUAACGGACAGAGUUACCCUAGGGAUAACAGCGCAAUUCCCUCUAGAGCCCAUAUCGACAAGGGGGUUUNCGACCUCGAUGUUGGAUCAGGACAUCCUAAUGGUGCAGCCGCUAUUAAGGGUUCGUUUGU